Molecule: ribosomal RNA, 934 nt
Filed under: Inocybe calospora
Lineage: Eukaryota; Fungi; Basidiomycota; Agaricomycetes; Agaricales; Inocybaceae
Description: LSU rRNA
Rfam family: Eukaryotic large subunit ribosomal RNA
Source: RNAcentral
UUAAGCAUAUCAAUAAGCGGAGGAAAAGAAACUAACAAGGAUUCCCCUAGUAACUGCGAGUGAAGCGGGAAAAGCUCAAAUUUGAAAUCUGGCAGUCUCUGACUGUCCGAGUUGUAAUCUAGAGAAGUGUUGCCAGUGCUGGACCGUGUACAAGUCUCCUGGAAUGGAGCAUCAUAGAGGGUGAGAAUCCCGUCUUUGACAUGGACUACCAGUAUGUUAUGGUAUGCUCUCAAAGAGUCGAGUUGUUUGGGAAUGCAGCUCAAAAUGGGUGGUAAAUGCCAUCUAAAGCUAAAUAUUGGCGAGAGACCGAUAGCGAACAAGUACCGUGAGGGAAAGAUGAAAAGAACUUUGGAAAGAGAGUUAAACAGUACGUGAAAUUGCUGAAAGGGAAACGCUUGAAGUCAGUCACGUUGGCUAGAAAUCAGCCUUGCUUUUGCUUGGUGUAUUUUCUAGUCCUACGGGUCAGCAUCAAUUUUGAUCAUUGGAUAAAGUCUUUGGGAAUGUGGCAUCUUUGGAUGUGUUAUAGCCCAUUGUCGCAUACAGUGGUUGGGAUUGAGGAACUCAGCAUGCCGCAAGGCCGGGUCUUUUGACCACGCUCAUGCUUAGGAUGCUGGCAUAAUGGCUUUAAUCGACCCGUCUUGAAACACGGACCAAGGAGUCUAACAUGCCUGCGAGUGUUUGGGUGGAAAACCCAUGCGCGUAAUGAAAGUGAAAGUUGAGAUCUCUUUGGAGAGCAUUGACGCCCAGACCAGACCUUUUGUGACGGAUCUGCGGUAGAGCAUGUAUGUUGGGACCCGAAAGAUGGUGAACUAUGCCUGAAUAGGGUGAAGCCAGAGGAAACUCUGGUGGAGGCUCGUAGCGAUUCUGACGUGCAAAUCGAUCGUCAAAUUUGGGUAUAGGGGCGAAAGACUAAUCGAACCAUCUAGUAGCUGGU